This 482-nucleotide ribosomal RNA is filed under the name Bacillus subtilis. RNAcentral's name for it is "bacterial SSU rRNA". It matches the Rfam family "Bacterial small subunit ribosomal RNA", at positions 355 to 828 of the family's 1533-position model. Lineage: Bacteria; Bacillati; Bacillota; Bacilli; Caryophanales; Bacillaceae. The record is from RNAcentral.
CAGGGAAUCUUCCGCAAUGGACGAAAGUCUGACGGAGCAACGCCGCGUGAGUGAUGAAGGUUUUCGGAUCGUAAAGCUCUGUUGUUAGGGAAGAACAAGUACCGUUCGAAUAGGGCGGUACCUUGACGGUACCUAACCAGAAAGCCACGGCUAACUACGUGCCAGCAGCCGCGGUAAUACGUAGGUGGCAAGCGUUGUCCGGAAUUAUUGGGCGUAAAGGGCUCGCAGGCGGUUUCUUAAGUCUGAUGUGAAAGCCCCCGGCUCAACCGGGGAGGGUCAUUGGAAACUGGGGAACUUGAGUGCAGAAGAGGAGAGUGGAAUUCCACGUGUAGCGGUGAAAUGCGUAGAGAUGUGGAGGAACACCAGUGGCGAAGGCGACUCUCUGGUCUGUAACUGACGCUGAGGAGCGAAAGCGUGGGGAGCGAACAGGAUUAGAUACCCUGGUAGUCCACGCCGUAAACGAUGAGUGCUAAGUGUUAGGG